This is a long non-coding RNA of Gallus gallus (chicken), 9539 nucleotides long. RefSeq lists it as uncharacterized. Lineage: Eukaryota; Metazoa; Chordata; Aves; Galliformes; Phasianidae. The transcript is spliced from 3 exons. The record is from RefSeq and is a predicted model, not a curated record.
GGAAACAGAGGCCUUGAACAGCUGGCCACUGCUGUGAUCAGCAAAAGAAAACCAGGUUCUCCAGCUAUCCGGGCACAGCGAUGUUCAGCAAAACGUCACACAACAGCAGCUCAGUUCUGGCAGAUCCCAACGGCACAGCACGGGACCCCCUGUCUGCAAUGAUCUCUGAAGUCCCCGUGCUGAGGCCUCCGUGCUGUGUGCCAAUUACUUCUCCCAUGGGCUAACAAUCUGCUGCCAGAGCUGUGGAGUGUGACAAUGGUGUUUGUGUCCAAUCUAUCAAACGCCAUUAUCACACUAAAUAGCUACUGGUAGAUGAGACUUCAAGUCAGAGAAGCAUGUAAGUUAUAGCGAUAUGUUUACCCGCUGUACUGAGGAAUAAAUGAGCUUUUUUUCCGUGUCAGGAUGACUCUUUUGCAAGUGAACCCACAGUCAUACGUGGGAAAAGCACACCCUGCCAUGCGCCUCCCCAGACUCCCACUGCAGAGCACUCAAGAGUCACCUAAAGGAGUCACAGCACCACCGUUAGGAGUGCUGAUUUCAUAGGAGUCAGUGCAGCCGUGAUAGCCUCUGCAAAACAAGGCUGGCCUGAGAUUUUCUUUUUCCUGUUGGAUUGGCCGUAGCUGUGGAGCACUGAAGCCAAUCACCUGGUGGAGUCAAAGCCUGGUUCUUAUUCUUGCACCAAAGUAAAGCAGAUAUGUUUCAAACAAUAACUGCCUGAGAUGAUUGUGAUUUUCAAACAAAACAUCCUUCAGAAUUCUGAUAAGAAGCUUCUACAUCUAACAGGGAACGUGAUUUAUUCAGGUUUCAGCUCCAGUCCCUUCUAUUUUACAAUGCUAUGUAUGAUCUGAGUUUGGGGAGGUCACAAUUUCCUCGUGGAAAUUCCUCUGAAAACUCUUGUGAAGAACAGGAGUCAGUGGUGGGAGCUCCCAAACAGGUUAUGAAGGCCUGGCAACCACGCUGCACUGGAAAGCCUAAAUCCCACUGAAUAAUCCAAGACUCAGGCUCACAGAAUACUGCUUUCUGAUCAUUUGCAAGGGGAGCUGUAAACUUUAUUCAGCAUGCUCGUAGUUCACCAGCACUUCUAGUGCUAAGUAAUUAGGCAUACAGAAUGGAAAGGACACUUACUAUGACUGUACUUCACUAUUGUGCAGAGUGUUGCUGGAAUAUAAGUAUGUUCUUAUACUACACUGUUUCUUCUUGCAACUAAGUCUAUUACACGCAACAUCUUUAAUAGGUUAUUUAAUUUUAUUCCCUAAACGUUGUUUUCUUCCAUGAGUUACAGUUGUGGAGAAGCCACUACCAAUGAAUACUGCUGGAAACUGAUGGAAAACUACACUAUUGUGUAGUAAAAUUCAGUUCUGGUCUUGGUAUCUUCAAAAGAAGGUUCUGGAAUAAUCCUGGUGAUAACGUUACUAUGGAGGCGAUCACGAUGCAGAUGCUGUCAGUUUUGGGUCUUCCUGGUGUCAUUUCACCUUGCAGAUCCACAGGUCCUGCAUUCCAGAAGCAUGGAUUGUUUCGGCCAUGAUCACAGCCAUUGCUGACGUGCUGUUUUCCCUUCCAAAUGUGCUGUCUCAGAUAAACAUCAGGCACAAAGAAGGAGAAGGAGCGGGGUCAGUGGUAGAGAAGGUAGAGGAGAGGUUGAGGUGAGAUGGUGGUCAUAGGAAGGACAGAUGAUGACACGAAGCAUGAGGAGUGGGGUGCUCAAAGGCAGAAGAGGAAGAUGAGGGUUCCGACUCAAGCUGGUUCAGUAAAAUAAAGGAGGCUUUAUUGUCUUUACUCAGGGUCAGAUCAGACUGAGAGGUAGGAUCAAGAGGGACAGGUAAGCAUACCAUAUAGACAACCAACAAAUGCAACCUGGCCCAGCACCAGCCAUACUGGAGCCAAAGCAACUGCUCCAAAACCACUUUGGCAGUGUUACACACAGAAACGUGCAGUUCCUGCCAACACGGUGCAGCAGUUCAGGCUGUGGCACUGCACAGAUCCUGUUCAGGUGCAUAAAGUUUAGAUCAGUAUUACAGCUGUGCUGAUUUCGGGUGUUACUUGCUGCUGGAGGCAGCACAGCAGCAUUCACAUGCCAAUCCAUUUGCAAGAAUUAUGCUGAUUAUUAGUUGGCUAACAUUACAAAGGCCCAGAAGAACAAUAGGUUUGGAGCACUGCAGAGCCACCCCUAGUAGGAACUAUGCUAUUUGGUACCUACAGCAAAUAACACUUACCCAGUUCUGCCAGCAUCUGAAAGAAAAGCAUGGUUCUUUUGAGUUAUUCCUAAGUGGAAAUGCAGGCGGAAGAUGUAAAAAGAAAACUUGUAAAACAGACCUCAUUAGGAAAGAGCUGCCAUCACCAGCUAAUGUGACAUACCUGCACCCUUAGGCUCUUGUGGACAGGCAAGGAAGGGAAAGCUUCCUUUAUCUGGGGAGCCUUGCUACCAUUCAGUCCUGAAGCUUGUUUCCUGGAUGCCCUUAAUGACUGAUCUUGGUGGCCAGUCUUAAAUGCUGGAUUGCUGCUAAAGGGCACUUUGUUGGAAGAAAAGACUUAAUGAUUUCACGUCUGCAUUCACUGAUUUGAUCACUUUUUCGCUGGCACAUGCAUUUGUUAGCCCACUGAGCACCAACACGAACACGGUACAUUGUUCUGUCACUGCUACAAAACAGCCUCAGCCAUCCAUUAGCGCAACGAGAACACAGCGGCAACAGAAAGACUCCCAGAGCCUGUGUUCUGCUGCCCGAGAUUCACUGGGUCACAGUAAUUUCACACCCACAAAAUUUUAUGGCAGAAUCACGAUGAAACGGGCAGAGCUGCAGAUAGCUAUGGCUUAUUUCUAAAACAGGCCUUUGCAGGCAAUUACCUGCUAGCUGAAGCAAGAUUGGUGCAUGUGAGCUUGGGAAGGUCGAGACAGCAGAACCUCCUUCUCUUUUCUCUGGCUCUGAUAAAGGAAUGUGAAAGUGACCUUGUCUGCACGACCCUCUGGGUAAUGUUCACAGCAGCAACUUGUCUUCUCAACUUUUGACUGAGAGAGAAAUGAAGAAAAUCCCUUCCCACCCUCAUUAUGCCUGCAGAGGCCAGGGAGCUCGUGCCAGCCUUGCUUGCCCUUCUCCUGAUUACUGGCAUUGCAAUUUUUCUUAUUUGAAGAACAUCUUAUGUUCUUUCUCUCCUCCCACUCAGUGAACCUCAUCUGCUACUUGCCUAAGAACAGCAUCCAGAAAGAGCAGCAGAUUAAGCCUGUCAUUCUGGACUAGCUCUACAAUUGGCAGUGACACCACGGCUUAAUGCAAAAUAUCAGUCGCCACUGCUGGUACUUCACUGGUGGAAUGGCAGUACAGGCUCCCAAGGUUCCACUUCUAAUAUGAUGAAGAAAAUCCAUUCAAAGUGUUCAAACACUGAUGUGUGCAAACAGUUUCAAACCCUCCCCUAGUACUCUGUGGCAGGAUAGUAGUAUAGAUUAACCCUCUCUCCCUGUUGUUGCUACUGCGCUCUUGAAACUCCAAAUAAAAACCUAUUAUUGAGCUUUUCAUUGCAGAGCAACGUGACUUUUACAACACCCACACAAGUGCUGGAUACACUGAACUUUCUCUAAGAGGAAAAAAAAAAUGAAGACAUGAUGUAGAUGUGUUCCUACAGUUCACUGUUGGAUUAUGUGAGAUUGAGCUGCGGGAGUUAUUCUGAAAAGCUCCCCCGCUACAAAUUCUAUGCAAUUUUCUAUUACUAUAUGGUUUGUAAGGGAUGGAGUGGGAAACAUGCUGUAUUUUCUAAUGCUGUCUUCCAUUCAGUAUCUGCAUCAAGUGGGUAUAUAUUCAAGGCACGACAUUUGAAAUGAAACAGCUGCCUUCCAAAAUUGCAUCCCCUGGAGACCUGGGGCCAGGCAAUUUGUGAAGCUGGUGUGUGCACUACGGCUGAGGUUACGUAUCAAAGAGCUGCAAUGAUACAGUCAUCCAAGAAAUUACUAGACACAAAUCCUGCAAUUGAAACUUGCUGCCUUUGAACACUUCUGACCAUUGGGAAGGAGUUUUCAGAAGUCUCAGGGUUCGAUUUCAAAAGGAACUGAGGCAGCCAAUUUCCACUGGGUGAUGAGGCACGAAGUGCAUCACACACCUGUAGCAAAAAGCUCAACCGACAAGCCUAGUAUUUUGCAGACACGGAUCUACACUCUGACAUCCAUUUGGUGUUACUGAAAACAUUUUCUUUGGAGCUUGGCUACUUUCAAUCUGCUUAAAACUGGGAAAGAUCAGGUUAAAUUAUCAGUUUAUCUAUAGGGACACAUAUCACAGAAUCACAGAAUGGCCUGGGAUGGAAGGGACCCCAAGGAUGAUGAAGCUCCAACCCCCUCGCACAGGCAGGGCCACCAACCUCCCCAUUCAAUACUAGACCAGGCUGCCCAGGGCCCCAUCCAACCUGGCCUUGAACACCUUGAGGGACAUACCUCUGUAGCCUCAAUGCCUACAUGACAUUCAUUUGAUCAACUAUUUUUUAAGAGGAGAUGUUCAGUAAAAGUUUUGUUGACUCUCCAUUCUUGCAUGCUUCAUCAAUGUUUGUACAACAAAAUCUAGAUUAUAAAGCAUUAGUGCUUCAGCAUAAACUGUAGUAGUGUCCUACGAAGAGCAUACGUUUUAAAACUGCAAUCAGGACACAGUUUUAUUUGACUUGCUUACCAAACAAUACUUUGGUUUCUUUAUGUAAAAGGAAAAAAGCAGAAUCUGGUUCAGAUUAAAAGACUGCAUGUGAAACAGCUAGCACUUUUUCCCAUUCAACUCAAUGAGCACUUAAACCUAAAGCCCAGUGAGAAUAUUGCUUACCCUACUGAUAGCUUCACUGCUUGUAAUUUUGCACACAUCCAGCUGAUGCAUAUUGGUAACACAGGUGCAAUAUGGUAAAACCAUAGUUGUACCAGGUCAGUCUUUCUCUCACCAUUCAGGUCAAUCAACAUGAAUAAACCACCUGUCACCCCCGUCUGAUUUCAUGGUCCAGAUCUUUGUACAGAGUUGAGAUUAGGUUCUCAGCUUUCAUUCCUUCUCAAACAAUUUUUUCAAAUGCUCUGUGAUACAGGAUACAUGGGCAUAUUUGUAUGUUCUGCAACAGCAGGAGUAAGGUGGGAAGAGUGCCUAAUUAUCAGUCUACAAAGGACAGCAAUUAUUAACAGCCAUUCUUUUCCCCCACAGAUCUGACAUGGGAAUAUGGAGACAGGAAGACAGCUAAUCUAUUAAGCACCAUUUCCCACCUAUUUCUGACAUGCACACUGGAGUUUGCUCAUUGUCAUUGUCAGACAACCUAAACUGUUCAUGCUGUGACCCAGAAAUGUCAGUAAGGGAUUGCUGAGAGGAACCAGCAUGAAGAAGAUACUCCUGACACAGACUUCCUACUCGCCAGACAAACAAGACAGACUGCAGCUGAACCACAGGUUCACAUGCACACACAAACAGAAGGGAAGAUGUUCUCCGGAGACUCGUGGUACAUUCAAUGGCCAAGACUCAAAAUAUACAGAUACCAGUGCAUGGAACAGUUGUAAGGUAAUCCAGGCAGGUGGCUGAGUUUAUCUUCAAAAUCUUGUUCUUGUGUUAAAUCUCCGGUAUCUACACCACAGAAUCAUCUCCUUUCUUCGUUGCUGGCAUCAGCAUUAGGAUGACUUCAUAACAAUAUCCCCAAAUGUUAUUCUCUUGUAAGAAUGUUGGUGCCUACCACUAUUACAUAUCCCCAAGAGGAGUUUCCACAUGAUGGACAGUGUUACUCAGUGCUCUGAAGACGUGAAGUCUCUAGGUUCUCUUGCUUUCUUGCACACUGUUUUCUUAACAGUUGGUGAGCUUGGUAGAGUUUUGCUUUUCAUGGAUGUUGGUUUCCUCUGUUUUUGAUGAGUGGAUCGGAGAGAUUUCAGACCCAGCAUCUCACAGUACUUAUUGCACUGGUGGAGGGCUCUGAACUGCUCAAUGAAGGAAAUCGAGCAGUUGCCUUUAAAACCUUUGUAUCUGUAGCAACAAAGAAAAAAAACAAAGCCAAGUUGGAUUUCAAGACUCAUUUUCAGCACCGGGGAGACAGAGUAUGACUGUUGACACAUAAGCAACUUGAAAAUACUAAGCAAGCCUCUUCCACUCAUAUAGCUUGGAGAGGCACUAACUCACAGAUAUUCAAACUGAGCCAUUACGAUGUGAAGAAAACUGGGUAACGAGCAGUGGCAGAAGAGGGGAAAAGGCUGAAAAGAUUUAGGUCUGCAGCUUGUGUUCUGGCUAUUCUUUAUCAUUUUAUUUAGUUGGCAAAAUAAUUAUCUGCUGGCUAACUUUUUCUCGGAAAUACACAAAUGAAAUCCAUUCUACACCAUUCUCUGUAAUCAGUGGUUUUGACUAUGAUGAGGAGACAAGAUUGCACAGGGAGGUGUCAACUGAACCAGAGGCUGUUUUCAUCCAAACUCAAACAUAACUUCUCUGCCAUGCUCUUCCCUCAGCCAGGCUUGACUACAAGACCUCAAUGAGCCAAGCCUCCCAGGGAAGAAGGAUGUUAGAGCAUUACUUGAGUCAGCAGCCUUGAUCAGCCUUCACAGUUCUCAAGCCCCCAUCACCCAUUGCUACCCCUCUCUUCUUUGGCAGGCUAGGACACCUGCAAGACAGAGCCCAUACGUCCCUUUUCUCCUUACCCUGUCACUGCUUGCUGUCCUUCAUUUCUGAUACCUGCUGUUUAAGCUGCAUCAGAUUUUCAAAGCAUGCAGCAGCUUUAUAAAAACCUACUUUUUAGAGGAGCAAUUUUUUAUCAGACUCCAGGUAACGCUUCUUGUCCGUUUUGGAAGCUGAGAGUCAUCAUCAAGCCUAGCUUGGCUCUGCAGCCUCCAGACUGCUCCAGCUCUUAUGGCAGACCAUAGUAAAACUAGAGAGGUGGAACCAAAGGUUUGCAUCUGAAAUUUCCCAGCUGUUUGCUGUUUGUUAGUCACUGCUUCCACACAUCCCUCCUUGUGUGCUUCCAGACUGCACCAUUUGUUCUGCACAGGCACAACGACUGCAGCUCUGUCAUAAUUUGGCAGGACUUGUAAGCUUAAUUCAAACCGUUUGUGCUGUUACAGCCUGUGGUACAUGUAACAGGGAGAAACAGCUUCUAAAUUCCACAGGCUGUAUUGCUCUCAUGUUUUCUGUUCAAUAACAGCAACCUACUGACUAUUCCAAGCCUUGAGAAAAAUUAAUCUGCAGUUCUGUACUCCUUGUUCUUGUAAUUCACUGACUAGAUGGCUGAUGAAUUGAAUGUGGACAGAAUUCCACCUUCCAAAUCUAGUGAAAACUAAAUCCUCCAUAAAACUGAAGGGUGAGCGCUGAAUUUAUUCUGAGGCUUAAACUCCCCAGUGUUGGGGAUUGCCAUGCUGGAUCAUUGCCAUGUUGGAUCAAGCCAAACCUAUCAGUAUCUUGAAGCCAGAUUUUCAGAUCCACAUCUGGAGAACAGCACUGGUGUUAAUCAACACAACACAGGUUACUGUGUUCCUGAUUCCUUCCCUUCUGUGUUUACUGCUCUUGGAUAAAGACGUGGGCACUCGUGCACAGCUGCUAAACCAGCUUGCUGCUUGCAUUUAAAAACCAGUCACUGCCUUGUACUGUUUUUGUUUACAUUUGCCAAAGAACAUACCAAAUAUUUUACUUAAGGGACAGAUUUCCUGACUCUGGUGCACCCCAGUGGCUGCAUUAAAAACACUUCCCAGGCUUUUCUGCUUUCAGUUAGGCUUUUCCUCCUAUUGACAGAAGCAGCACUGCAGCUGAUUCACUGCAUCGGAUAAACUGUACUUCCAGUUGUUUCGCUUUCCAGUUAUGGUUAAAACUGCCACAGAAGGGACAAAAGAACAGAAUUACUUCAAAGGAUGCUAAAUGUUGAAAACAUCAGUUUCUCCACUGCCGGUACGUGGAAGAGGGGAAAGAAAAAGAUACGUAAGUGCUGGUUUAGAAAUCAGAUUUGAAAGAAGAGCCUGGACCCAAAUAAACAAACAAACAAAUAAAUAAAAAGUAAUGAGUAAUGCUGAACAUAGGUAUGAAAUUUUAGUAUAUGCUGUUUAUUAUGCUUGGUUUACAAGAGAAACUGGGGGAAAAAUAAUGGCCACAAAGUACUGAUGAUAGCUGCCACGUUGGCUUUUGCAAAAUCAUCAGUACCAGUUUGUACCAUGGCAUUUAGGUUAUUUGUCAUCCUGAUUCUCAUGCAAGCACAGGGGCAGGAAAGGGGAUGAUUUUUUCCAGUUUCUUUUUUCCCCAGAUCACAAGCUCGAUGUUGGAGCGAAAUUAGGCUUGUAUUUAAUUUCCUUUCCAAGCAGAAACAAUAUGGAUGCUUUUACAUUCAUUAAGGAUCACAGAAUAUUUGUGUUUUGCGUGGAUGUAAUUGGUAUGGGCUUAGAGGACUGGAGACAGAGCACCUAACUGUCAUCAGUGAGUUUGUUACCACUGCAAAGAAUGGUUGAGGGAACUACAGGCAUUUGCAGAGGCAAUAACAACUAAAAUCAGCUUUGUGUCUUUUCUAACAAUACAGUUAAAAGUAUAGCUGGAUAAUAUAAUAAAUUCUAGUUCAUAGAAUUAUAUAAUAAUUGAACCAUAGAAUGGCUUGAAAGGACCUCAAAGAUCAUCCAGUUCCAACUCCCACACAUUGGGCAAUGAUGCCAUCCAAGAGUUAAGUAUGUUCUCCCAAACAUAUGGCAUAUAUGAUCUCCACGGGCAUGGAUUCACACUACCAAAGGUAGCAAUAACUUGUAAUUAUGCAUUCUCUGCACUUGUUUGUUUUCCACAUCCAAGUUUGCUUGGAUGAAGAAAAAAACAAAUGGCAGGCUAUUAUUGCAAAGCUGUUCUUUCCAGGAAAGGAGCAUGAAAGAAAAAUACAGGACCUGAAAUUACUUACUGUCUAGCAAUAUCUUUAGCUAAACAUCAAACAAAUUGAUAAUAAACAUUUUAAAGAUAUUGCUCAUUAAGGGAAUACAUAUUCCCUUAUGCAUGCCCAAGGUGAUCCUUAUGGCAGCUUGCACUGUAUAUUUUCUCACUUCACUUUCCUCUUCCUUAGUCCAAUAUGUGUUUUUAUAGGAGUAAUUGCUCAUAGUGAGCCAGAUGACAUCGAUGAAGGCCUUUCCAUACAUUUUCUGAUUCCAGAAAACACCGUUGCCCCAACAAAAUUCUUAUGAUCUUUGUUUUACAGCAGGAUGAUGCAACUUCAUUUCAUCUGCUAUUUCAAAUCAGUUAAUUUUGGAUCCACAGCUAAAAGAGUCAAACAAUGUAAGUUCUGAAAGGGUUUUCCCAACACAUUCUGUGGUCCGUUUUUAAGUAAUUUUAAACGAUGCAGUGAGGGGUUUUUACUGUACCAUUUCUUCUAUCAAUUUCUCAAGGGAAAACACGAAUUUAAAAGCACUUGUCACUGGCAGUUACCCAGAAAGCUGCGUCAGGUGCCAGGAAACAGAAUGGUGGCAAUACACAUGACAGAGCCAAUUGGCUGUGCAUGGGGAAGAAUGAUAUAUUGCCAUUAGAAGGAAUGUGCUUGCAGCAAUUGAUACUGGAAGAAGUAUGUUUUUCUAAUGAAAAAUGUUGUAGCCACUAUGAAUAAAGGCUUGAAUCAAU